RNAcentral lists this ribosomal RNA (450 nucleotides) under uncultured bacterium. RNAcentral's name for it is "partial 16S ribosomal RNA". It matches the Rfam family "Bacterial small subunit ribosomal RNA", at positions 354 to 796 of the family's 1533-position model. The record is from RNAcentral.
GUGGGGAAUCUUCCGCAAUGGACGAAAGUCUGACGGAGCAACGCCGCGUGAGUGAAGAAGGUUUUCGGAUCGUAAAGCUCUUUCGUUAGGGACGAACGUGCUCUUUGUGAAUAAUGAGGAGUAAUGACGGUACCUAAAUAAGAAGCCACGGCUAACUACGUGCCAGCAGCCGCGGUAAUACGUAGGUGGCAAGCGUUGUCCGGAAUUAUUGGGCGUAAAGCGCGCGCAGGCGGGAUAUCAAGUCUGUCUUAAAAGUGCGAGGCUCAACCUCGUGAGGGGACAGAAACUGGUAUUCUUGGGUGUCGGAGAGGAAAGUGGAAUUCCAAGUGUAGCGGUGAAAUGCGUAGAGAUUUGGAAGAACACCAGUGGCGAAGGCGACUUUCUGGACGAUGUCUGACGCUGAGGCGCGAAAGCUAGGGGAGCGAACGGGAUUAGAAACCCCGGUAGUCC